Long non-coding RNA from Bubalus bubalis (water buffalo), 1396 nucleotides. RefSeq lists it as uncharacterized. NCBI's taxonomy places the organism in Eukaryota, Metazoa, Chordata, Mammalia, Artiodactyla, Bovidae. The transcript has 3 exons. The record is from RefSeq and is a predicted model, not a curated record.
UAACCAACCCACUCCAGUGUUCUUGCCUGGAGAAUCCCAGGGACGGGGGAGCCUGGUGGGCUGCCGUCUAUGGGGUCGCACAGAGUCGGACACAACUGAAGUGACUUAGCAACAGCAAAAGAAUCAAAGAGGUUGAGUCAUAAGGGACCAUUAGGUUUAAAAAAUUCUUUUCACUCCUUAGACAACUGGCCUGAAUGACUUCACAGCUUGAGCUGCUGAAUCACAUUGCAUUAUGUACAUGGAAACACUCAUAAUCUAUGGAGAAGUUGCACCUUGAAGAGGCAUUACACUAUGAUUAGAUCAUAGUUCAUAUAAAAAAUGACUUCAGCAGGAGACUACUGGCUUAUGAAUAUAAAUAUUCAAAGUAACAGAAUUAAAAUACUGCUUUUUCUAAUAAAAAGGUUCUGAUCAUCUCAUUUUGAUAUCUUCAAGUCAAGGCUACUUUGCAGGAACGUCAAUCACGUGAAAUGAGACCUUCCUAGGACUCGGCUUCCUCCUGGGACCCCUUGCAAAGGAGCAGCUAAUGAUUCCGCUUGACCCUCAAGAGCCCACAGUCGCUGAGCCAGACCACCAGCCUUUUCUGUCGCCUCCCCCACCCCUGGAGUCUUCCAUUAUUCAGAGAAGCAAUCAGCAAAUCCUGUCUCAACCACUGCAGGGGUUCCAAAGCCAAAUCAGAGGACCACCGUCACGUCCCCACCAUCACCUGUCUGGUCUGAGCCAUCAUCACCCAUCACUGCCUCACCAGUGCCCCCUGCUCCUUCCCCCCAGCAGAUCCAGGGCAGGCCUCUGAAGGUGGAAGUCACAGUGAGUCACUCUCUGACCUGAUGGCCACCAGCCGACUUCAGACCUAAAGUUCUUGCUGGGGCUUAGGGCUGUGGCUCUGACGCCCCCUCUCACUCUCCAACCAACUAUUCCUGAAACCCUCCCUGGAGCACCAGCCUCGGGCCCCUGCUCUGCAUCCUGUGGCCUGGAACAUUCUCCCGUAGAGGGUCAUAUGCCCACUAGACCCACUAGCUCUCUGCUCCAGUGUCACUCCCCUGCCUCCCCCGCCACCCAUCUAAAACGCAACCCCUUAGCUGUGUCUUUCUCUUCCCUUAGCUGGUUUUGUUUUUCUUCAUAAUCGUUAUAACUUCCCAUUAUGUUUUUCCAUCCUCCUGAUAGAAUCUACACACAGUAAAAUUCACUCCUUUUAAUACACGGUUUUCUGAGCAUUGAGAGAAACUUCAGUCCUUUAACCAUGGCCACAGUCAAGAUCUGAAACAGCUCCAUCACUCCCCAGGUUCACUCAAGCCCCCUUGGAGUCAAUCCUUCCACACCUGGUCCUCAGCAAUCUGUUUUCUGUUCUUGUAGUUUUGCCUUUUCCAGAACAUCAUAUAAAUGUUGGAGUCAUAUAAUA